This is a long non-coding RNA of Solanum stenotomum, 527 nucleotides long. RefSeq lists it as uncharacterized. The transcript is spliced from 2 exons. The record is from RefSeq and is a predicted model, not a curated record. NCBI's taxonomy places the organism in Eukaryota, Viridiplantae, Streptophyta, Magnoliopsida, Solanales, Solanaceae.
AGACAGAAAACCCAAAAACAAAUGAGAGCUAAUUUAAAAAAUCUGCAUGAGUUACCAAUCCAACCCAUCAUAAACCAAUUUAAGAUAAAGCCCAGGUGUGCAUAAAAUUGGAAGGAUGUCGAAAACCAUAACUACCUAUCACCACUAGAUAUUCCUUGUGUUGUGGCAGGCGUUAGAACAGAACCAGAUGAUAAAGCAGAAAGUUGAUCACUUUGAACUGAUGAAAGGUGAGGCAUCUGUCGUGGUGAAUCACUGCUACCGGAGCUAAUGGGAAGAGGGGAAUCAACUGUUGUGGUUGCAGCAGGAUCAGAAAUUGAUCCAGUAGGAUAAGGUGAAACAGAAGUGGUAGGAGAUGAAUUAUGAUGAGUUGGAAAUACUAAAAGUUGUGGACGGUGAUUGGUGGAUGAGUGAUUUCUUGAGCCCUCCCUUCGACCCACAUGGUGAGCUCUUCCCAUUGAAGCAGCAACAGCCAAAUGCUGAAGAAUGCGCUCUUCAAGUUCAGGAUCAUCAAUAUCCACAGGUAACUG